AAUUUUGUGCAAUUUCCAUAGCUUUCUUUAUAUUACCAAAUCUACUACUUACUAAAGGUAGAGGGUUUGGAGUACUGUUCAUAAGAAUACCCGCAAGAGCGGGUUACGGGUCGGUUCUGGUGCGGUUUUUCCGAGACCUAUGCAGGAGACCCGAAAACGGUAGCUGCAGCCUGCAGGGUGACGGUUCUUGGAAGCCUCGGGCCUGUGCAGGUUCUCAUGAGGCCGGAAUCCACCGUUGGCGAGCUGGUGGCGGCGGUGGCGCGACAGUACGUGAAGGAAGUUCGCUGUUCUAUCCUGCCAACCAACGAUGCCUCUGAUUUCAACCUUCAUUACUCGCAGUUUAGCCUAGAAAGUUUGCAUAGGGAGGAGAAACUGGUAGAACUUGGCUCUAGGAACUUUUUCAUGUGCCCAAGGUUAUUUUCAGCCGUUUUUCUUCAAUGUUAUGUGGCUGAUUCUCUGUCUCUUUCACAGGGAUUAUAUCGUGUUUUCAUUCACCAUUCUUCACUCAAAAUGAGCAGCUCAAGGGAAAACUCGCCAGAUUGGUUAUGUUAUUUUCUGAAACAUAUGGAAACAUAAGGGAUGACUAGAGUGUGCUGGUUUGGAAAGCUUACUGCUUCCUAUCAUGUGCUUCUCUUUGCUGGUGAGUGGUGAUGGUGUCAAAGUAGAUGAGGAGAUGUCAAAGUUGCUUCCUUCUCAGAAAAAGAAGAUGAGACAAAAACAAAGAAAGGCAUAAGCAAGAGCUAAGAAAGGGGCAGAGGAAAAGAAUGAAGAGUUAAGUGUUAGUGAGGUAUUCAAGUCUAGGAAACGACAUGUAAAACCUGUGAAUCCUGAUCCACAUGGGGAGAAGUUAUUGCAGAUUGGCCAAGAGAAAGGGAUGCAGCAUCACAACCACCUUUGUCUGAGUUUUUUCUCCUCUUUCUGAUCUGAACAGAUAAAAAUUGAUUUGGAAAUAUUUCAAGAAUGGUUAUCUUGUGAAAAGCCCAAAUGGUACUAUGUGGAAUGCCCAAGUGUUUAGAUGGGGAGGAAAGAUUUUUUUGGUUGCUCUCUACUGUCACAAAGCUUUUAAAGGAGUUCAUAAAAAGACUGUCGCAUGAGACAAAUGGUCUAUAUUUCAGGUUGAUGGUGAUCGUGAGCUACUUUUUCUCUAUGAACGGAGAAAGAAGAACUCAUGGAAGGAAAUUGGGUUACCAUCGGAGGUCUGACAAAUAUUUAUUUUUUAUUAUUAUCAAAUUACAUGCUUUUCCACAAAUUUAGUUCACUUAAAAAACUUUGCCUAAUCUUACUAAUUAAAAAUGCUCAUUUUAUUAGUCUAUUUUUUUCUUCUAACUCAUGCAAUCUAUUUUUGACGUUUAAAGAUGGACUAAUAUUUUUAACUAAUUAAUACAUGCAUAACUACUGCAUUGUUUGGAUUAGCUUCUAGCUUAUAGAAAGUAUUCAAUUGAUAUUUGGUUCCUAAGAAAAAAUUCUUCAUUGAAUGGGAACUUCUCAAUUGUUAUUUGGUUCCUAACGAAGAAAAUGCCUUUAUAAGUGUAUAUGGUGAAGUUAUAUGAUGGAUCUUCUAGAAAAGACGAGGUGCAAAUUGAUUUUAACUUAUGAGAGAAGCUCUUAUUUAAAGACAAAAUCAUUACAAGAUUAUUUCAACUUCUCCUUUUAUGUAUGUGCCUAUUGAGAAGUUUAACUGAAUUGUCUGUAAUUUUUUUGUAUUUGAAGUGUUGUCUCUCAGUUGUUAGCCUGUCUUAAAUAUAUGCCGGUUGCCUUUAGAAUUUUACAUUAUUUUUGGUUUCUAAAGAGUAUUGCAUUGUGCUUUGGGCCAUAGCGUCACUUUCUCUAGACAGGGUUUGACAUUGUAUUGAUUCUUAUAUUGCAACUUAGUUCGUCGUCAGCUUGGGUUGAAGUACCUCAUAUUGUUUCCAUAGUAAAAAACAACGGAUAUUUUAACUCUAAUACAUGGCCUUAUCUCUUCACUUUGAUUAUGAUUUAGUAGGUUUGCCUUAUGGAUGGUUUGAGUUCUGGGUUUUAUUUUCUAGCAUUGUUAAUUUUAAAAUUUGAAUCUUGCAGUGCCUAAAAGGGUUACAUGUUCUGGAUGAUAGAAGCUGAAAAUGGUGAUUGGUAAUUUUUGCUACAUAUUAUAUUGGCCUGAAGUGGGUUGUUGAAACACUCUAAUGAUGGAUAAACUUUGUUGUUGCCGAAGUUUUAUCCUGCAAUAGUUGCUUUCGACCUAAAAUUGCUUUUCACACAAUUAAAUUUUGGAAAAUCAUUCUUUUAGUUAUACUUUUUGUUCUAGACUUCUUGGUCAAGAAGUUAGACCACUGAGAGAAAUUUCAGAGACUACUGAAACUUCAUAGUUGAGAAGGAUGAAUGUAUCUUAAGAUGAACAAAACUGCAGUGCAUUUUAUUCUUAUGUUUUAUGGUAUACUUCUUAAAAGUGAAAAGUGAAAAAUAAACAAAAGAGUGCCUAUAGUGCAUAUAGGUCUCAACUAUAGUUAAUUAUAAGAAUAUGCUGAUUAUGUGUCACACAUGGAUGUACUUGCGCAUCAAAAACACAUUCAUUGAUAUGCUUUUGAUGAGUCUUCCUUUUUCUCCUUUCCUCCUUAUUGAACCAAGGCUAAUUUGUUGAAUUGGCAAACAUAUUGAAGAUUGUCGCAUUCCUUCUCUGCAUUUUGGACCGAUAAAAAAAUGUUCUUUCUUAUUUUAUUAUUUUCUUGCAGAGCCAAGCUGAUAUCAACCGAGUGAUUUGAACAUUGUGAGCAGAUGUGGUGACUCCUUAUAUAAUUAUUGUAUUUCUUUUGGUUAUUGUAUUUCUAUUUCAAAUCAUAGAAGGCUUGAUUCUAUGAACUUGGGGUUGCAACCAAGCUAUGUCUCUCCCUAUAGAGAAUAGAUGUUUUACGACUAUGAUAACUUCAAUUUAAUUUAUUAAAUGAAAUCAAAGUGAAAUCAAUGAUUUA
Lotus japonicus is the source of this 2945-nucleotide long non-coding RNA. RefSeq lists it as uncharacterized. Lineage: Eukaryota; Viridiplantae; Streptophyta; Magnoliopsida; Fabales; Fabaceae. The record is from RefSeq and is a predicted model, not a curated record. The transcript is spliced from 9 exons.